CCCCAUAGAAUCUUCGAUGGCGAGGGAGAGUUUGGAGGAGGCUAGGUUGCUAAGGCGGUGAGGGAGAGUUUGGAGGAGGCUGUGAGCUGCUAACUUUUGGCUGACGGGCCCACAGAUGUUUCCAAAAUUCAAAUUGCUGAUGUACAGAUUUGGUUGUCACUCGUGUGCUGCUCAAUGUGGGCUCAUUUCAGUUGUUGGGCCCAUAUGUGGGCUAACAUGUAUUGAGCUCACUUGUUUUUGAUGUAAUUUUAUGGUAUUUUUAUUUAUCUAGUUUUGGGGUGUGCAGUAUUAUGUAAUUAGGCUAGACAAUUAUAAUUGUGCAAAUAUUUUUUAAAAAAAUAUUCCAAACGUUAAUAAAUAAUUUUUUUUAUUGAUGUAUUUUGACCCUUUAUAAAAAUGGUCUGGUUCCUCCGGUGAAUCAUUAACCUUUGUUGUCUUAUUCCUGCAAUCAAAUUGCCAUCGUCG
Molecule: long non-coding RNA, 465 nt
Filed under: Panax ginseng (ginseng)
Lineage: Eukaryota; Viridiplantae; Streptophyta; Magnoliopsida; Apiales; Araliaceae
Description: long non-coding RNA (PGIN_LNC018330)
Source: RNAcentral